RNAcentral lists this ribosomal RNA (250 nucleotides) under uncultured bacterium. Its description in RNAcentral is "partial 16S ribosomal RNA". It matches the Rfam family "Bacterial small subunit ribosomal RNA", at positions 524 to 773 of the family's 1533-position model. The record is from RNAcentral.
CACGUAGGAGACGAGCGUUAUCCGGAUUUACUGGGUGUAAAGCGCGUGUAGGCGGUCGAGUAAGUUGGAUGUGAAAGCUCCCGGCUUAACUGGGAGAGGUCGUUCAAUACUGCUUGGCUAGAGGACAGCAGAGGGGAGUGGAAUUCCGAGUGUAGCGGUAAAAUGCAUAGAUAUUCGGAAGAACACCAGUGGCGAAGGCGGCUCUCUGGGCUGGUCCUGACGCUCAGACGCGAAAGCUAGGGUAGCAAAC